GAGGGUAUAGCUCAGUGGUAAAGUGCGUGCCUCGCAUGCACAAGGUCCUGGGUUCAAUCCCCAGUAUCUCUG
Molecule: transfer RNA, 72 nt
Filed under: Camelus bactrianus (Bactrian camel)
Lineage: Eukaryota; Metazoa; Chordata; Mammalia; Artiodactyla; Camelidae
Also listed under: 1 other name
Rfam family: tRNA
About the family: Transfer RNA (tRNA) molecules are approximately 80 nucleotides in length. Their secondary structure includes four short double-helical elements and three loops (D, anti-codon, and T loops).
Source: Rfam by way of RNAcentral